GACGAACGCUGGCGGCGUGCUUAACACAUGCAAGUCGAACGGUGAAGGGGUCUGCUUUUGUGGGCCCUGGAUGAGUGGCGAACGGGUGAGUAACACGUGAGUAACCUGCCCCCUUCUUCUGGAUAACCGCAUGAAAGUGUGGCUAAUACGGGAUAUUCUGGGUCUGUCGCAUGAUGGGUCUGGGAAAGAUUGCGCCUUUGGGUGUUUUUGGUGGGGGAUGGGCUCGCGGCCUAUCAGCUUGUUGGUGGGGUGAUGGCCUACCAAGGCGGUGACGGGUAGCCGGCCUGAGAGGGUGGACGGUCACACUGGGACUGAGACACGGCCCAGACUCCUACGGGGGGCAGCAGUGGGGAAUAUUGCACAAUGGGCGCAAGCCUGAUGCAGCGACGCCGCGUGAGGGAUGGAGGCCUUCGGGUUGUAAACCUCUUUCGCCAGUGAAGCAGGCCUGCUCCUUGUGGGUGGGUUGACGGUAGCUGGAUAAGAAGCGCCGGCUAACUACGUG
Molecule: ribosomal RNA, 502 nt
Filed under: uncultured bacterium
Lineage: Bacteria
Description: partial 16S ribosomal RNA
Rfam family: Bacterial small subunit ribosomal RNA
Source: RNAcentral